This 406-nucleotide ribosomal RNA is filed under the name uncultured bacterium. Its description in RNAcentral is "partial 16S ribosomal RNA". It matches the Rfam family "Bacterial small subunit ribosomal RNA", at positions 30 to 526 of the family's 1533-position model. The record is from RNAcentral.
AUUGAACGCUGGCGGCAGGCCUAACACAUGCAAGUCGAACGAGUGGCGGACGGGUGAGUAAUGUCUGGGAACCUGCCUGAUGGAGGGGGAUCACUACUGGAAACGGUAGCUAAUACCGCAUACCCUCAGAUGAUCCAAGAUGGGCUUAGCUUGUUGGUGGGGUAACGGGUAACCAAGGCGACGAUCCCUAGCUGGUCUGAAAGGAUGACCAGCCACACGGGAACUGAGACACGGUCCAGACUCCUACGGGAGGCAGCAGUGGGGAAUAUUGCACAAUGGGCGCAAGCCUGAUGCAGCCAUGCCGCGUGUAUGAAGAAGGCCUUCGGGUUGUAAAGUACUUUCAGCGGGGAGGCGUUACCCGCAGAAGAAGCACCGGCUAACUCCGUGCCAGCAGCCGCGGUAAUUC